RNAcentral lists this ribosomal RNA (405 nucleotides) under uncultured bacterium. RNAcentral's name for it is "partial 16S ribosomal RNA". It matches the Rfam family "Bacterial small subunit ribosomal RNA", at positions 28 to 526 of the family's 1533-position model. The record is from RNAcentral.
GAUGAACGCUAGCUACAGGCUUAACACAUGCAAGUCGAGGGACCGGCGCACGGGUGAGUAACACGUAUCCAACCUGCCCUUUACUCGGGGAUAGACUUUCGAAAGACAGAUUAAUACCCGAUAUAAAGGCUGGGGAUGUGUUCCAUUAGGUUGUUGGUGAGGUAACGGCUCACCAAGCCUUCGAUGGAUAGGGGUUCUGAGAGGAAGGUGCCCUACAUUGGAACUGAGAGACGGUCCAAACGCCUACUGGAGGCAGAAGUGAGGAAUAUUGGUCAAGGUGCGCUAGCCUGAACCAGCCAAUUAGCGUGAAGGAUGAAGGCUUAUGGGUCGUAAACUUCUUUUAUAUAUAAUAUGUAUUAUAUGAAUAAGGAUCGGCUAACUCCGUGCCAGCAGCCGCGGUAAUUC